RNAcentral lists this ribosomal RNA (425 nucleotides) under uncultured bacterium. RNAcentral's name for it is "partial 16S ribosomal RNA". It matches the Rfam family "Bacterial small subunit ribosomal RNA", at positions 360 to 776 of the family's 1533-position model. The record is from RNAcentral.
AAUCUUCGGCAAUGGACGAAAGUCUGACCGAGCAACGCCGCGUGAGUGAAGAAGGCCUUCGGGUUGUAAAGCUCUGUCCUAAGGGAAGAAUGUACGUUAUGUGAAUAAUGUAAUGUAAUGACGGUACCUUGGGAGGAAGCCCUGGCUAACUACGUGCCUGCAGCCGCGGUAAGACGUAGGGGGCAAGCCUUGUCCGGAAUUACUGGGCGUAAAGCGCUCGUAGGCGAAUUAUUAAGUCAGAUGUGAAAACUCUGGGCUCAACCGAGAGCAUGCAUCUGAUACUGGUAGUCUUGAGUGUAGAAGAGGAGAGUGGAAUUCCUAGUGUAGCGGUGAAAUGCGUAGAUAUUAGGAGGAACACCAGUGGCGAAGGCGACUCUCUGGUCUAUAACUGACGCUGAGGCGCGAAAGCGUGGGGAGCAAACAGG